GGUCGCUCGAUGGUUUUUCAGGUUCAGUAAAGUAAGAAACUGUUGGUCCUAUUCUGAAUUCUAAUAAUGUUGAUCACCAGGGAGAGGGAGAUCAGAGGACGGAUGGAAGGGAUGGCGACAAUGUUAUAUUCGAAAGGGAAUAACGCUGGAAUACCUUGCUAUUGCUACCUGUCAGAGUGCAUAAUUAUGAAGUAAAUUACUUGGCACUGCUUAGUUGCCAAACUUGACAGUUGCUAAGACCUUCUGUCGACAAGAUACACAAACAUACAAUUCCAUGGUACUAUGUAGAGUAUUCAAAGAGGUCAUCUUCAUGAAGCUAGCAGAGGAUAGACAUUAG
Aegilops tauschii subsp. strangulata is the source of this 337-nucleotide non-coding RNA. NCBI's taxonomy places the organism in Eukaryota, Viridiplantae, Streptophyta, Magnoliopsida, Poales, Poaceae. The record is from RefSeq and is a predicted model, not a curated record.